UCUGCCCGGUAGUGGGGGAUAACCUGGGGAAACCCAGGCUAAUACCGCAUACGUCCUACGGGAGAAAGCGGGGGMUCUUCGGACCUCGCGCUAUCGGAUGAGCCUAUGUCGGAUUAGCUGGUUGGUGAGGUAACGGCUCACCAAGGCGACGAUCCGUAGCUGGUCUGAGAGGAUGAUCAGCCACACUGGGACUGAGACACGGCCCAGACUCCUACGGGAGGCAGCAGUGGGGAAUAUUGGACAAUGGGCGCAAGCCUGAUCCAGCCAUGCCGCGUGUGUGAAGAAGGCUUUCGGGUUGUAAAGCACUUUCAGUGGGGAAGAAGGCCUUGGGGUUAAUAACCCCGAGGAAGGACAUCACCCACAGAAGAAGCACCGGCUAACUCCGUGCCAGCAGCCGCGGUAAUACGGAGGGUGCGAGCGUUAAUCGGAAUUACUGGGCGUAAAGCGCGCGUAGGUGGCUUGAUAAGCCGGUUGUGAAAGCCCCGGGCUCAACCUGGGAACGGCAUCCGGAACUGUCAGGCUAGAGUGCAGGAGAGGAAGGUAGAAUUCCCGGUGUAGCGGUGAAAUGCGUAGAGAUCGGGGAGGAAUACCAGUGGGCGUAAGGCGGSCUUUCUGGGACUGGACACUGGACACUGAGGUGCGAARGCGUGGGUGAGCAAACAGGGAUUAGAUACCCUGGGUAGG
Molecule: ribosomal RNA, 684 nt
Filed under: Halomonas sp. TS127
Lineage: Bacteria; Pseudomonadati; Pseudomonadota; Gammaproteobacteria; Oceanospirillales; Halomonadaceae
Description: bacterial SSU rRNA
Rfam family: Bacterial small subunit ribosomal RNA
Source: RNAcentral